AUGGGAAACCAUCAGGACUGAGGUCAUAGCCCCAGUACCCAUGGAAACAGCCACAUGUAGCCAAAACAUGCCUGCAACAUCAUUGUUGAAAGUGGGGAUGGUGCUGGAAGAUUACUGCGACCUGCUGACAAGCUCCAAGACUAGUGCAAGACUAUGCCACAGCGAAGAUGCAGAGGCAGUAGAAGAGGAUGCUUGAUGAUGUCCUCUGGCUUCCACUCAUGCAAGCUAGGUGCACUCACAAAAGGCAAUUAAUAGUCUGGAUUUCUCUACUAGACUCUUGUCAUGGAAUAUAUAUAUUCAGAACAAAUGACUUUUUUUUUUGGUUAUUCGAGACAGGCUUUCUCUGUGUAGCCUUGACUGUCCUAGAACUCACUUUGUAGACCAGGCUAGCCUCGAACUCAGAAAUCUGCCUGCCUCUGCCUCCCAAGUGCUGGGAUUAAAGGCGUGCGCCACCACGCCUGGCACAAAUGACUUUUAAAGUGGAUUUAAUUAUUUUUCACUUUCUUUGCCUUGAGAAAAUCAAUAACUUUAUUUUUUCUCAAAUACACAGUUAGAAAAUUAGUCUGAGAAGAGGUUUUGUGACAUAAACUAGAUAAAGUAUAUACAAAAAUCUAAGAAGUGCAGAAUAGAAGUCCCACUGGCUAGGUCCUGCCCAUCAGAGGGGAAGCCAGGUCUUUGAUAGUUUUGGAGUUCAGGUGAGGGAUCCUGACCUUCAGGAGUCUGCUGCUGGCAUACUUGACAGUAAUGAACUUGGUGAGAUUUUCAUUGACUUUCACAACGUUCUUGGCCAAGUGCUUCAUGACUUCCAGUGCUUCACUCUCCAUGUAUCCUGUGUAAUACUGCUGCUUUAAAUUGCGUUUUCCUUGGCCCAGCACCACCCGAGACAGACAGGAAGCAGCAGCUGCAGCAGGAGUGUCAGCUCCAUCAGAUACUUGGCUAAAGUGUGUUGUUCAACAUCGACCUCCCUGGCAUUUGAGGCUCACCUUAAGAAGUAGAAUGGUGAAGUCCAGCCCAACUCCAAAUUCAACUCUUUCAAAAUUAGUUUCCAUUUCUCAGAUUUGGAAACUGGAGUAAGCAUUGUCUAAGAUAUAAACAAAGUCUUCAGUACUCAGAGAAAGCAUCAUAUUUGGAAGCCAAAAGCAGAGCUGUGAUCCUAACCAGCUGCAGCUUCUUCCCGCAGAGCAGCUGAACAUGUAGGAACUGGUCCAUGAUGGCAAUGCACAUGUAUGGAGUUUCCUGUAGAAGCCUAAACUUGGAAUGGACUUAGACCAACUUUAUUUCCAGUUUCUUCUAAAACUGCCUGCUGCUUAGUCAUAUAGCUUUAGGAUUAACUCCUGUAUCAAUAUUCUUCAAAUCACUGUACACCUUUGGGCAUCAGAGUAGCAACAUGAGGACCACCCUGGAAAGUGUAGAUGAGGCAUAGCCACUCUGGUCCACAGCACCACCAGUUGUUUUGUUUUUGACUUUUAAUAUUUUCUCCAAAUAAGAAUUCUGUGCAUAUUUUAUAGUUUUAACUAUUUUCAGCAGUAUAUAUGUGUGUGUGUAAUUUUUUUUAUAAAUAUUGACAACCUACCUGCAAAAUAACCAUAAAAGAUCAACUUCACAUUUUUCAAAAUUUUCCUUUCAUCAGAGUCAUUAUUGCCCAAAUGCAAUAAUGGGCAAUAAUUCCUUAUGUAGUGGGAUCUUACUAAUUAAUGCUCUAUUCCUAUGUAAAUUUUACCGUAUUUACGUUACAGCUUUUUAUCAUAGUUUUCCCUUCACUUUUCUUACCAAAAGAUACAUCCCACUGGUUUAAGCAAUGAUCACAUCAAAUGUAACAGAUUACAGUAAUGAAUCUAUCUACAUACCAUAUCUGAUCUGUUCAUCAGAAAUAUCAUUUUAUUUUAUUAUUUUGUGUAUGUGUAGCAUGUGUAAGCACAGUGGGUGUGGUAUAUCCGUAGAUGUCUGUGCCUGUGUUCCUUUGGAGGCCAGAGGAGGAUGUCCUUCUGCCCCACUUUUUGCCUUAAUCCCUUGACACUAUGUCUCUCCCUGAACUAAGAGCUAGGCUAAUAAUCAUCCCUGAUGUUGCGUCUGUAGGUAAUGUUUAGGUAAAUUGCCAUAGUAGAACCCUACAAAGGGUCCUGCAUAGCUCUGAAGUGCAGUAAAGGUCUCACUGCACAGAAGUAAUUUCCAAACAUCUCUUGCUUGACAGUGUUGUAAAGUAGGAGCAUAGAAGCAAGCACAAACCAUGUAGCUGCUCUAAUCAUAGUGUAGAUGUAGAACAUACUAUUUGCAAAUAAAAGUACUUCUAUUUUUG
RNAcentral lists this long non-coding RNA (2296 nucleotides) under Mus musculus (house mouse). RNAcentral describes it as "long non-coding RNA chr8:71916555-71918851". Lineage: Eukaryota; Metazoa; Chordata; Mammalia; Rodentia; Muridae. The record is from RNAcentral.